This is an RNA transcript of Coregonus clupeaformis (lake whitefish), 2555 nucleotides long. It is a transcript of the gene named KH domain containing, RNA binding, signal transduction associated 2, with no coding region annotated. The transcript is spliced from 12 exons. Lineage: Eukaryota; Metazoa; Chordata; Actinopteri; Salmoniformes; Salmonidae. The record is from RefSeq and is a predicted model, not a curated record.
UUGCGAAUAGUCUGUCCUGUGAUAUGACCAAUCAUGUUUCAGAGGGGCGGGGAUCACCACGCAGUCCCUCUGUAGCUAAGGUGGGUGAUUCUUCAGGAGGGAGUCGCGAUUGAGCGGGAUUUGGAGAGAUGUGUUUAUAGCUCUGAAUUCCUUUCAGUUCUCAGUCAAGCAUCACGUGCAAUUGGAGAGAUUCCUUACGGCUUUUCUUGCGGUACCUAUAAAGACAAUUACCAAGUGGAAGAGAGACGCGCACUCCGACGCUCAUCACUUUUGUUUUCUCACCUGCACAAGCAGUGAACAGGAGAGGUACUUGUCAUGGAUCAGGAGAAAUACUUACCGGAGCUGAUGGCCGAAAAAGAUACGCUGGACUCCACGUUUGUUCAUGCGAUGCGUCUGCUUGCCGAAGAAAUCGAAAAGUAUGAGGGGGAUGAGUUGAGAAAAGACGGUGACGUGAAGAAAUACCUCGAUGUCAUCAGUAACAAAAACAUCAAGCUCUUGGAAAGAGUACUCAUCCCAGUUCAACAGUACCCAAAGUUUAAUUUUGUUGGGAAGCUGUUGGGGCCACGGGGCAAUUCCAUGAAAAGAUUACAAGAAGAAACAGGAGCAAAGAUGUCCAUCCUCGGAAAAGGCUCCAUGAGGGACAAAGGAAAGGAAGAAGAGUUGAGGAAAAGCGGAGAGGCCAAGUAUGCCCAUUUGAGUAACGAUCUCCACGUUUUAAUUGAAGUCUUCGCUCCACCUGGAGAGGCCUAUUCCCGCAUGAGCCAUGCCUUGGAGGAGAUUAAGAAAUUCCUAGUUCCAGACUACAAUGAUGAGAUCAGACAGGAGCAGCUGAGGGAGCUCUCCUACUUGAACGGAGGAUCAGACGACACCAACAGAGGGAGGACUGUAAGGGGGCGGGGCUUACGGCUGGCUUCCACGACAACCACGCGGGGACGGGGAGGCGCAGCCCCCCCUCCUCCACCAGGCAGGGGGGCAGUUGCACCCAGGGGGACAGCGGGUACGCGGAGUGCACUGACACAAGCCACAUUAGCGAGAGGAGUACCUGCUCCCAGGGCCAGGGGAACACCAGGGAACCCCGGAUACAGACCCCCUCUGUUACCCGUCACACACGAAUCAUACGACGACUACGGCUAUGAUGAUGGAUAUGACGGUGAAUAUGAUGACCAGAGUUAUGAUGCCUAUGAGGAGAACUACAGCAAUCAGUCAAAGAGCAUUUCUGAAUAUUACGAAUAUGGCCAUGGAACCAAUGACGAAGCCUACAACAAUUACGAAGAGGAGUGGACUACAACCCGUCCGACGCUCAAAGCCCCAGCAGCAAGGAUCUCACGAGUGGGCUACAGAGAACAUCCCUAUGGUGUAACAUAUUGUGUGAACUGUUCGAUAAGGCUCUGAACUCUCAGUAUGGAACACACAGUAAACUCUUCCCAAGGGACUGCGGAGUGCCUUUACCUACCAGAAGAGUUGGGCACCACCUUAAAUUAGCUUUGUGCAAAUGACCAUGAUAUGCGGAUGGUUCUGUGGAUGUGUAGCAUCUUCCCUGUCCAAGUCAACCUGGCCAGGUGAAUGCAUAGACUAUAUCAUGCAUGUAGUCUGUUUGAUCACUAUGAUUAAGUUAGUCAUGUUAUACUAGUAUGUUGUGUUUCUAUACAACCUUCAAUGAAUUACAUGUUUAUACAGUAGAUUUGAUUGGAUUUGCCUUUGAUACAAGACAGUAUUGGUUUUCCCAGUUCACCAGGGUUUCACUAUAGUAAUCAUACUGUAGUUGCACCAGUAUCACCUCUCCCAUCUUUUCCAUCUCAGUGAGCAGAUCAUUACUUCAGACAUGAUGUGUUACCCAGGGGAAAGCACAGCCUCACUGCCCCACAGCCCCUCACCCACAGGCUGACUGCACCCAUGAUGUCAAACCCACAUUGACAGAGAGUAGCCAGGGGUUGUAGAGAGAUACGGUCAAAGGGAAUACUGUAGUGACUGCAGGCAUACCAGCCAUGAUGCUCGACAGAUACCUUUAAAGCUAACGGUGCGGAAGCACACUCAUGUUGAAGCAAACUAAGGACAAUAGUGUAAUCUGCCAUGUAUUGUAUAUAGACUCAGAAUCCAUUCAAAAAGAAGUGAUGAGUCUUUAUUUGUAAGUCCUAUUUUUAUAGUUCAGUUAUUUUCUCUGUUUCUAAAGCAUCCUGUCUAUCAUUUUAUUUUCUCCACAAAAGCCCCCGAAAAUGUAUUACAGGCAUGCAGAACUAAUAGAUUUUUACAUAACUGUAGUUCGACCUCAGAUGUCUGUUGACGUUUCUUUCUCUCUAUUUCCCCUCACUUCAGGAAGUGAAGUAUACAUCCUGUUUGUGUAUUAAGUAUUUUCUCUGCUUUCAUUCUACUGUGUAUGAACAAGGAAUCAGACAGGACAAAGGACAAACAGGAAAUGUGUUUUGCUUUCACUCAAAUGCUGACAUGCAGGGUUUGAAGUAAUGAGGUUCGUAAGUAAACAAUGCAGUUGAAAGUGUCCUGUGCCAUUUUUCAAUUUCAAGACAUCAACACAACAGGUCAAACGUUAUAAUGCAGCU